GUUCUCUGACCACACUGUGAUGUCUGUCGGGUUUUUAAAGCGACUUGAGUCCUCCAAACCCUGCUGUAUGCAUGUCUGGAUCCUGGGGCUCAAACCCUGCUGAGGUUGGGAUGGGGCCUGGAAUCCAGGAGAAGGUUUCGGAUUAAGCGUGUCUGCUGUUUCUUUCUUUCUUCUUCUUUUUUUCUUUUCCUUGUGUUAAUUUACAAGCGUUAGAACAUCUGCUCAAAGGACUUGGCCAAAGAUGGCUUUAUUUUUUUCACUCAACGGCAAAGGUCCACAGGUAACCUGGCAUCCGGCAGAGUGGGGCUCUAGACUUGAUGUCAUUAGGGGCUUGAUGACUUUUCCCUGUGUCCUCCUCCGCUCCCACUGCCUUGGCUUUAUGUUCAAGCUGCUCAUUAGAUCUUCCAGGACUUCAAAGCUGUUUCUUCGAGGCCAGCAGAUGACUGAGGAAGUUCUAGUCUCUGAGGGCCAGUGACGGUCUACUGGGAUAGGCCACCACUCAGAGGCACACCUGUGAGCCCAGCCUUUGGGCCAGGAGGAUGUGGCACACUCAUUAGCCCCUGCCUGUGUGGCUUGGUCCACCCUCGAAGCGCUUUGGAAACCGACAAAGCUAGCACACGUGUGGCGGACUGCAUCAUCUCCCAAGGCUGACUUGGGGAACGGAGGUCUGCCACCACUCAGAAACCUGGGAAAUGUCUGUGAGAUGAAUGACCAGCACUCUUUUAAUGCUAGUCAUUUAGCAUCUGCAUUUAGCCCAAGAAGAAAAUACUACUGAGGCUAAAGAGAAAGAAGCAUUGGGUCCUGAGGGGUGGCUCAUGGUUAAGAACUCCAGCUCCAGGGAGACUCAAUGUCUCCAGCUAAUGUGGACACCUGCACUCAUAUGCUUAUGCAUAUACCCAACGUUACAAAUAAUAAAUAUGAAUA
This is a non-coding RNA of Peromyscus maniculatus bairdii (prairie deer mouse), 924 nucleotides long. The record is from RefSeq and is a predicted model, not a curated record. Lineage: Eukaryota; Metazoa; Chordata; Mammalia; Rodentia; Cricetidae.